UUGUCAGCAGCCGCGGUAAUACAGAGGGUGCGAGCGUUGUCCGGAAUCACUGGGCGUAAAGGGCGCGUAGGUGGCUAGGUAAGCGUGCGGUGAAAGCCCGGGGCUCAACCCCGGGUCGGCCGUGCGGACUGCCUGGCUUGAGCACGGUAGAGGCCGAUGGAAUUCCGGGUGUAGCGGUGGAAUGCGUAGAGAUCCGGAAGAACACCGGUGGCGAAGGCGGUCGGCUGGGCCGAUGCUGACACUGAGGCGCGACAGCGUGGGGAGCAAACAGGAUUAGAAACCCGAGUAGUCC
Molecule: ribosomal RNA, 292 nt
Filed under: uncultured bacterium
Lineage: Bacteria
Description: partial 16S ribosomal RNA
Rfam family: Bacterial small subunit ribosomal RNA
Source: RNAcentral